RNAcentral lists this ribosomal RNA (163 nucleotides) under Xanthomendoza mendozae. RNAcentral's name for it is "5.8S ribosomal RNA". It matches the Rfam family "5.8S ribosomal RNA". From Rfam's summary of the family: 5.8S ribosomal RNA (5.8S rRNA) is a component of the large subunit of the eukaryotic ribosome. It is transcribed by RNA polymerase I as part of the 45S precursor that also contains 18S and 28S rRNA. The record is from RNAcentral. Lineage: Eukaryota; Fungi; Ascomycota; Lecanoromycetes; Teloschistales; Teloschistaceae.
CAAUUAAAACUUUCAACAACGGAUCUCUUGGUUCUGGCAUCGAUGAAGAACGCAGCGAAAUGCGAUAAGUAAUGUGAAUUGCAGAAUUCAGUGAAUCAUCGAAUCUUUGAACGCACAUUGCGCCCCUUGGUAUUCCGAGGGGCAUGCCUGUUCGAGCGUCAUC